RNAcentral lists this transfer RNA (90 nucleotides) under Pseudomonadota bacterium. RNAcentral's name for it is "Proteobacteria bacterium (marine metagenome) tRNA-Ser". It matches the Rfam family "tRNA". Rfam says of the family: Transfer RNA (tRNA) molecules are approximately 80 nucleotides in length. Lineage: Bacteria; Pseudomonadati; Pseudomonadota. The record is from RNAcentral.
GGAGAGGUGGCCGAGAGGCUGAAGGCGCCCGCCUGCUAAGCGGGUAGACUCUGAUGAGGGGUCUCGAGGGUUCGAAUCCCUCCCUCUCCG